RNAcentral lists this ribosomal RNA (438 nucleotides) under uncultured bacterium. Its description in RNAcentral is "bacterial SSU rRNA". It matches the Rfam family "Bacterial small subunit ribosomal RNA", at positions 338 to 794 of the family's 1533-position model. The record is from RNAcentral.
CCUACGGGGGGCAGCAGUGGGGAAUAUUGCACAAUGGAGGGAACUCUGAUGCAGCGACGCCGCGUGAGUGAAGAAGGUCUUCGGAUCGUAAAACUCUGUCCUUGGUGAAGAAAAGGACGGUAGCCAAGGAGGAAGCCCCGGCUAACUACGUGCCAGCAGCCGCGGUAAUACGUAGGGGGCGAGCGUUGUCCGGAUUUACUGGGCGUAAAGGGUGAGUAGGCGGUUAUAUAUGUCAGGUGUAAAAAGCUAUGGCUUAACCAUAGUAAGCACUUGAAACUGUAUGACUUGAGUGCAGGAGAGGUAAGCGGAAUUCCUAGUGUAGCGGUGAAAUGCGUAGAUAUUAGGAGGAACACCGGUGGCGAAGGCGGCUUACUGGACUGUAACUGACGCUGAGUCACGAAAGCGUGGGUAGCAAACAGGAUUAGAUACCCCUGUAGU